AAUACAUCGGAACGUGCCUAGUAGUGGGGGAUAACUACUCGAAAGAGUGGCUAAUACCGCAUGAGAUCUACGGAUGAAAGCAGGGGAUCGCAAGACCUUGUGCUACUAGAGCGGCCGAUGGCAGAUUAGGUAGUUGGUGGGAUAAAAGCUUACCAAGCCGACGAUCUGUAGCUGGUCUGAGAGGACGAUCAGCCACACUGGGACUGAGACACGGCCCAGACUCCUACGGGAGGCAGCAGUGGGGAAUUUUGGACAAUGGGCGCAAGCCUGAUCCAGCAAUGCCGCGUGCAGGAUGAAGGCCUUCGGGUUGUAAACUGCUUUUGUACAGAACGAAAAGCCCUGGGUUAAUACCCUGGGGUCAUGACGGUACCGUAAGAAUAAGCACCGGCUAACUACGUGCCAGCAGCCGCGGUAAUACGUAGGGUGCGAGCGUUAAUCGGAAUUACUGGGCGUAAAGCGUGCGCAGGCGGUUUUGUAAGACAGAGGUGAAAUCCCCGGGCUCAACCUGGGAACUGCCUUUGUGACUGCAAGGCUAGAGUACGGCAGAGGGGGACGGAAUUCCGCGUGUAGCAGUGAAAUGCGUAGAUAUGCGGAGG
This 596-nucleotide ribosomal RNA is filed under the name uncultured bacterium. RNAcentral's name for it is "bacterial SSU rRNA". It matches the Rfam family "Bacterial small subunit ribosomal RNA", at positions 112 to 704 of the family's 1533-position model. The record is from RNAcentral.